GGCCUUAUGGCGCAACUGGAUUAGCGCAACGGGCUUUUAACCCGUGGGUUCUGGGUUCGAAUCCCAGUGGGGCCA
RNAcentral lists this transfer RNA (75 nucleotides) under Bacteroidales bacterium. Its description in RNAcentral is "tRNA-Lys". It matches the Rfam family "tRNA". From Rfam's summary of the family: Transfer RNA (tRNA) molecules are approximately 80 nucleotides in length. Their secondary structure includes four short double-helical elements and three loops (D, anti-codon, and T loops). The record is from RNAcentral. Lineage: Bacteria; Pseudomonadati; Bacteroidota; Bacteroidia; Bacteroidales.